GCGUCCCAGCCGGCGGGCCGCGGUGGCUCACGGCUGUCGUCCUAGCUUUCUGGGAGGCGCGAGAUGGGUGGAUAGCUGCUGCUUCAGGGGUUCGACACCAGCGCCUGAACACUGCCUGAGCACAGCCAGACCCUGUCUCUAAAUCUAAAAAAAAAAGUAAAAAAGGCAAAAAAAAUACACAAAACACAAAACAGCCGGGCGGCUCUGGCAAGCGCCUGUAGUCCCAGCUACCUGGGAGGCUGAGGCAGAAGGCAGGCUCACAGGCCCAGGACGCUGGAGCUUGGGUGACCCGCCCUCCACUGCACUCUGGCCCAGGCCGCGAGUGACACUCUGUCUCCCACAAAAAAAAAAAAAUGAGAAACUGCAAUUGCAAAGAUGAAGUGCUUGCAAAUCCCCCUACCCCUUCCCCUCUUUUCAAUACAAAAAAAAAAAUGAGAAACUGCAAUUGCAAAGAUGAAGUGCUUGCAAAUCCCCCUACCCCUUCCCCUCUUUUCAAUAAAAAAAAAAUCGUUUAAUACUCUUCGUCUCUGCCUUCAUCAUACUCC
RNAcentral lists this long non-coding RNA (545 nucleotides) under Microcebus murinus (gray mouse lemur). RNAcentral's name for it is "lncRNA (ENSMICG00000048404.1)". Lineage: Eukaryota; Metazoa; Chordata; Mammalia; Primates; Cheirogaleidae. The record is from RNAcentral.